GAUGAACGCUAGCGGCAGGCUUAACACAUGCAAGUCGAGGGGCAGCACGGGUAGCAAUACCUGGUGGCGACCGGCAAACGGGUGCGGAACACGUACAGAACCUACCUUUGUCUGGGGCAUAGCCCGGAGAAAUCCGGAUUAACUCCCCAUAAUAUAGAUGAGUGGCAUCACUUGACUAUUAAAAAUUUAUUGGACAGAGAUGGCUGUGCGUCCCAUUAGCUAGUUGGUAGGUAACGGCCUACCAAGGCAACGAUGGGUAGCUGGUGUGAGAGCACGACCAGCCACACGGGCACUGAGACACGGGCCCGACUCCUACGGGAGGCAGCAGUGAGGAAUAUUGGUCAAUGGACGCAAGUCUGAACCAGCCAUGCCGCGUGAAGGAUGA
RNAcentral lists this ribosomal RNA (385 nucleotides) under uncultured bacterium. RNAcentral's name for it is "bacterial SSU rRNA". It matches the Rfam family "Bacterial small subunit ribosomal RNA", at positions 28 to 411 of the family's 1533-position model. The record is from RNAcentral.